AGAUGAUAAAAAAAUAAUUUAUUUUCUGGUCUUUUGUAGUUAUCCAAUUUAGUUAACUGUGUCAAAUCAAAUUUCUUCCUUACGCAAUUUCUGCUAGAGAGGAAUAACAGUGCAAAGUGCAAAUGUGUCUCGCUAUUAAGUUUAAUGAAAGAAUUAAAUGACCACUGACCAUUGGUCAAGAAUGCCACAGAAUUAGUUCUUGGACAUAUUGGUGGAGCCAAGUUAUCUGAAAGACGUUUGACAGCAAUAGCCUCCAGUCGAACUCUGGCAGCAGGAUAAUCUUUAAGGACUUCCCACAUAUCUUGUUUAUAUAGGCAAAACAAAUCAGAAUAUCCCACAGAACGUACGGAUGCGGUUCUUCUAUUUCCAGCCGUUCCCAUA
Molecule: long non-coding RNA, 381 nt
Organism: Centruroides sculpturatus (bark scorpion)
Lineage: Eukaryota; Metazoa; Arthropoda; Arachnida; Scorpiones; Buthidae
Exons: 3
Source: RefSeq, a predicted model, not a curated record